UUAGGUCAAGUGAAGAAGAGCAUAAGGUGAAUGCCUUGGCACUAGGAGCCGAAGAAGGACGUGGCAAGCUGCGAUAAGCUGCGGGCAGGAGCAAACAUCCGUUGAUCCGCAGAUUUCCGAAUGAGGAAACUCACUUACGGUAAUGCGUAAGUACCCUGUACUGAAUCCAUAGGUACAGAGGAGGUAACCCGGGGAACUGAAACAUCUAAGUACCCGGAGGAAGAGAAAGAAACAUCGAUUCCCUAAGUAGCGGCGAGCGAACGGGGAAGAGCCCAAACCGGAUUUAUCCGGGGUUGUGGACCAUUCAUAACGCGAAGCGUGUAUAGUCGAAGAGAUCUGGAAAGAUCUGCCGUAGAAGGUAAAGGCCCUGUAGACGAAAUGCACAAAUCGUAGAGUGGCACCAGAGUACCACCAGGCACGUGAAACCUGGUGGGAAGCAGGGGGGCCCACCCCCCAAGGCUAAAUACUACCUAGUGACCGAUAGAGAAUAGUACCGUGAGGGAAAGGUGAAAAGAACCCCGGGAGGGGAGUGAAAUAGAACCUGAAACCUUAUGCUUACAAGCAAAGGGAGCGCAAGUGACCUUGUACUUUUUGUAGAACGGGCCAACGAGUUAUGGUAUGUAGCAAGGUUAAGGUGUUAAGCACCGGAGCCGUAGCGAAAGCGAGUCUGAAUAGGGCGUCAAGUUGCAUGCUGUAGACCCGAAACCGGGUGACCUAUCCAUGUGCAGGUUGAAGCGAGAGUAAAAUCUCGUGGAGGACCGAACUCAUGUCUGUUGAAAAAGGCUGGGAUGACGUGUGGAUAGCGGUGAAAUUCCAAUCGAACCCGGAUAUAGCUGGUUCUCCUCGAAAUAGCUUUAGGGCUAGCCUCAGUCAAAGAUACUCGGAGGUAGAGCACUGAAUGUUCUAGGGGCCUUCACCGGUUACCGAAAACUAUCAAACUCCGAAUGCCGA
RNAcentral lists this ribosomal RNA (951 nucleotides) under Ignavibacteria bacterium. RNAcentral's name for it is "partial 23S ribosomal RNA". It matches the Rfam family "Bacterial large subunit ribosomal RNA", at positions 1 to 966 of the family's 2925-position model. Lineage: Bacteria; Pseudomonadati; Ignavibacteriota; Ignavibacteria. The record is from RNAcentral.